CGUAGGGGGCAAGCGUUGUCCGGAAUUAUUGGGCGUAAAGAGCGCGUAGGCGGUCCGAUAAGUCGGCUGUGAAAGUCAGGGGCUCAACCCUUGAAAGCCGGCCGAUACUGUCGGACUAGAGUCCGGAAGAGGCAAGUGGAAUUCCCGGUGUAGCGGUGAAAUGCGCAGAUAUCGGGAGGAACACCAAUGGCGAAGGCAGCUUGCUGGGACGGUACUGACGCUGAGGCGCGAAAGCGUGGGGAGCAAACAGGAUUAGAUACCCUGGUAGUCCACGCCGUAAACGAUGGGCACUAGGUGUGGGAGGUGUCGACUCCUCCCGUGCCGCAGCUAACGCAUUAAGUGCCCCGCCUGGGGAGUACGGCCGCAAGGCUAA
Molecule: ribosomal RNA, 373 nt
Filed under: uncultured organism
Description: bacterial SSU rRNA
Rfam family: Bacterial small subunit ribosomal RNA
Source: RNAcentral